GGGGGCGACUGGUUUCGACAUGGUAAGUUUGAAGUGAGGAGCAGGUCGUGGUCUCCUCUCCACGUUAAACAGGGGUGCUGUCAAGUUAAUUGGCAAGAACAACACUCAGAGCGCUCCGGCGCUCGCCAUGGCUGCUUAGUUUCAGCCUGGCUGUCGGCUGAGAGUUCUUCCCUGACGCUCAGCUCGGCAUCAUUUGAGGGGAAUGCUCCUCGGCACGUAGCCGGUAUGGCCGAGGAAAAGAUCGAACCGGCUCGGAGCGGCAACGUUGGUCUGCGAACCGACCCGCUCUCAGCUUCGAUCGCCGACUAAGCUUGUAGAGCCUCACGGAGAAUUUAGUAUGGACCGGAGUUCGAUUCUCCGCGCCUCCACCA
Molecule: transfer-messenger RNA, 371 nt
Filed under: human gut metagenome
Rfam family: transfer-messenger RNA
About the family: Bacterial tmRNA, also known as 10Sa RNA or SsrA, is named for its dual tRNA and mRNA-like properties. Its role is to liberate the mRNA from a stalled ribosome. To accomplish this part of the tmRNA is used as a reading frame that ends in a translation stop signal.
Source: RNAcentral